GCAGAGAACUGGGCCUGCAAUUAGAGGUUGGUGCUGAGUGCUGGGCUCUGUGGAGAGCGGAUGGCACAGCACAGGGCACAGCCAUAUCCUGAGCAGAUGCCAACCCCGCACACAAGAUGGGCAGGUACGGUGAGCAACUGAGGCUCGGAGUCUGGGUCGGGACUAGCAACACUGGGUCCAGGAAUGGCUGCAAUAAUGGGACAAAGUCGAUGCUCAUAAAGUCACAACAACGAUGGCAGUGUGUAACAGUGGCACAAGCCCGCAGGGAGCCGGCAGUCACGCUCCCUGCUCCUAGUGGGUUUGACUGGGAAGCACUCACUUUGUGGACUUGUUUGUCUUCGUCACUUUCUGUGUUGUUCCUUCUGUUUGCCCUCCACCGAGGGUCAAUUUCAAGGUCAUCUUCACAACAGCAUUGCUCACCGGUCCUCUGGAGCAGCUCCUCAGGAGCAGGAAGUGAUGUCCCAGUCCUGCCUCCCUGCCCCUGGCAGGCACCAGCAUGCCUGACAUCUGUGUUCUGAAAUGGACCACUGCAAUUCUGAUUGCUUCUCACCAGGAGCUUAUGUGACCACUUUAGAAGAUGGGGUCCCCACGGCUGCACCCACCAUGCCUGUUUGCAGCACGGCACCCACCAAACUCUUGUUCUCCAGUGUGGGGCCUGCUCUUCACGCCCUCCAAUUCCAACCAUCUCACAUUUCCAAUUACAGUACCACAGCAGCAUAAGACAGCUUUCAGGGAUCGGCCGCCACAUUCAGUCUGUUUCUAUCAGUGUGUGUCUGCAGCACACGGUGACCACACGCGCUGUGAGGAGCUGGGCACCAACUACUUAAGAAACAAAAUAUACCAGAGCAGAGCAGCAACAAACCCAAGCCCAUUGCAUGCUGCAGAUGUGUGUGUGUGAGUUUGUGAACCCUCUCUCUGCAUUUGAAUUUGUGGAGUGAUGCAACCAGCCCUGGCAUAAAAUGCACUCUUUACUGUGGUGGUGGUAAAAGCAAACACAAUUCUUCCUUUAGAGUGUAUCACAAGAAAUUGUUCUGUAAUUCUCAGAGAGAACAAUCAUGUAGCAGUGAUCCGACCUGGUGACACUAAGAGAAACCCUGAUCCUUAAAAUUUAGCUUUAAAUUAAUAGAGAGCUAGUUCAACAUUAACACACACUCAGGAUUACUCCCUGUUGACCAAGCCCUAAGUAAUCACUAUGAAACCCCCACACCCCUUGGAGCUGGCACUGUGAUUAUCAGCAUUUUGCAGGUGAGGAAAUUUAAGCACAGAAAGGUAAAGUCAUCCCCUGGAGGCUGCAGAGUAGGGAAUUGUAGAGCUAGAAUUCAAACACAAGCUCGAAGUCUACUUUUUAAAAAACUGUUUUCCUGGCCCCCUUGGCAAUGUUUGUUACUUUAUCACAUGGAUAAAAACGAUGCAUGGAUGUUCACUUUAUUGGCCUUAUUAGAAUGAGUACAGUUUGUUCCUAAAGUGAUGGGCAUUAGGUUGCAAGGAAGGACUCAUCAUGAGCUCCAGAGAACUGGCCAUGUCCAUGGGGACCUGGACCACACAUUUCCUUGGUGGGGAAGCUCUGGGAGCAAUUGGUGAUGUCUGUCACUACUGCACAGAGAGAAGGGACACCUGUGCCCCUGAGCUUACAUCAUUUCUUUGCUCCCUGAAGCAAUAUUCACUGAGACCCACAGGAACUAAAUCUACAGAGAUGAACAGAAAUGACAAGGACGCCUGUGAAAGGCAGAUGACAAAAAUGUACAACAGAGUGGACCAUUAAAUGCACACUGGAGUUUCAGGUUCCUUGGUGUACUUGAUGGGAAAACAUACGUGAGAAAGACAGAGACGCACAGAGCUCAGCAGCUUAUGUACACAGCCUGGAGAAAGACAUCCCCCGUGAGAACCAUGUCACUAGUUUGGAGCAAAAUGAGACAGAGUCCCACAGGAGCACUGCAGGAAAAGCAGUCCAGGGAGGAGCUACAGCAGGGGCACAGGGUGUCCCUUGGGCCAUUCAAGGGAGGCCCCAGGCCAGCUGAACAUCCUGCCUUCUACUUGUGCUUCUAAGGACUGCAGCGCUCAGAGGCCUGGCGAUGGGAGAAGAGCUCCCAGCUGGAGGAGGCAGCGGGUCCUUCGCGUUCCACUUUGUACGCUUCAGUGUUUUAAACCUGCUCAUGAGAGGCACAUCCUUCAUAAGGGAGGAAAACAUGACAGCGCUUUGAGAUUGCACAAAUGCUGCCUCCCUCCAUGGCACACUCGAGGUAGGAAUGUCACAUUCCUGUGGAAUAUUUGCAGAGCUCCUGCUUGGCAAACAUUUGCUGGUUUCCCUGAGGCCACCAGACACAAUCUGAGAGGAGACCGGUUUGAAAGUGAAACAAAGCUACACUUCCACACUGUGGGAAGCCUCAGCCCACUGGAUCCUACAUUCCCAUGACCGAGCUCCAUGUUUCUGAAGCAGAGGUGAUUUCUACCUGAGGAAUGUGGCUUGUGAAGAUCACUUUAGAUAACUCAGACACUGUGGCAUCCAGCCCGCUGAGGCCAGGGAUUCAGCUAACGAUCCUGUAAUGUGCAAGAGGGCAUCAACUGCAGAGGGCUGUCCGGGUUCUAAUGCCAAUCAAUUCAGGACAAUGAAGCCUUCAUUUAGCGAAAUCAAUCACCAGUAGAUAGGCCCUGGAAUCUUGGUCCCUGCUGUGAUUUUCCAGUGAGGUUUCCAUGGAGACCAGGUGAUACAGGCAUGCAAACCCAGUGGAUGUGCAGAGGUCUCAAGGCCAGAGAGAAGGGGAAAGGACACACAGUCAAUUUGACUGCGGUAGCAAUGGGAACAAGCAGUUUCCCCAGUGGAGCUGCCUCAUCCAUCACCUCUGGAGUCGUUUCUGCAGGGGGGAAGCUCCCCACCCCUCAGCAGGGCACUCAGGCUCAUCACCUACCUGGUGAUGAUGCUCAGACUCACAGUGACAGGGCCCAAUUUGCUUUCUGUCCUGCUUCUCCUGGUGCAGAGAGGGCACCAUAAUGAGCAUGCUUUCCAGAGAUCACAACCUCACUGAUAGACCUUUCAAAAGGUGCUAGGCACAGGCAGGUUGGAAAUGCACCUCGGAAAUUCAGAAAGAUGUGGAGAGCUUGGUCUUCUGGUAAUAGACCCACUGCUGUUCCUUCCUGUGGCCAAUCUGACAUCGAAGCAGUCACCUUAGGUAUUUGGAGCCAUUGUGAUUGGAUUUUGCUUUUGACAAGGCCCAUUGCUCCCGGGAGUGAUGAAGGCUGACAUCUUGCUGACAGGAUAGCCGGCUCUGACCCUUGCAGGGCAAAGAGCUCAGUCUUCCCCAAAGGCCUCUUUUUCAGCUUUCCCAGUGGUGGGGAGGGGUAAGAUCAGCUGAAGUCACCUGAUGACCUGGGUGAUGUCAUCUCUAAGUUAACAUCCUCCCGUAACAGUACAAAUGCAGAUGAUUCAUUCUGCAACCCAAAAAUAUUCACAUGAAAAAGAUUGCAAUACUGUAAUACAGUGGAGAAUAAUAAAAAAAAUACAAAACAUAAAGAAAAGCAAGUUAGCUUGCACUUGCCCUGAAAACCUCCGAGGCUGGUGUGAGGGACAUGGGAGGGGAAGGUCACUGACCCUGGUGGAGUCGCUGCUGUCUCUCAGCCUGAUGGAUGGAAUCGGUUUCUUCUCCUGCAACUUAUCAGGGACCUAACCUGGCCACACCUGCUUCCGCCUCCUUCUGAGAAUGUUGCACAGAAGUGAAUGCAAUCUUGUGUGGUCACUAAGCAGAUUCAUCAUUUGCACUGCUGCAGCUUGUUCCGGUGGUGGAUACCAUCCAUACAGCUCUACAGGGUUUCCCACAUUGACAGACCUCCCUCAUCUCACUGGGAGUGAGGGAUCCCUCCUGCUCCUUCUCCUCUUUCUCCUCUGCAGAUGAGGUCCCCUUAACAUAUUGGUGUUGGGAGAUGAUCACC
This is a long non-coding RNA of Cavia porcellus (domestic guinea pig), 3924 nucleotides long. RefSeq lists it as uncharacterized. The transcript is spliced from 3 exons. Lineage: Eukaryota; Metazoa; Chordata; Mammalia; Rodentia; Caviidae. The record is from RefSeq and is a predicted model, not a curated record.